GCCACAUGAUGUUUUCAUUUUGAAAAGUGAGCGCUUUGCGUAAUGACGACCGUAAUCUAUCACCCUUGACUGAUGGCU
Small nucleolar RNA from Balaenoptera musculus (blue whale), 78 nucleotides. Its record names the gene SNORD83. It matches the Rfam family "Small nucleolar RNA SNORD83". Rfam says of the family: U83 (SNORD83) and U84 (SNORD84) are members of the C/D class of snoRNA which contain the C (UGAUGA) and D (CUGA) box motifs. They act as guanine methylation guides but lack complementarity to ribosomal RNA. U83 and U84 are spliced from introns 5 and 4 of the BAT1 gene in mammals. NCBI's taxonomy places the organism in Eukaryota, Metazoa, Chordata, Mammalia, Artiodactyla, Balaenopteridae. The record is from Ensembl.